RNAcentral lists this long non-coding RNA (299 nucleotides) under Cricetulus griseus (Chinese hamster). RNAcentral's name for it is "lncRNA (ENSCGRG00015029341.1)". Lineage: Eukaryota; Metazoa; Chordata; Mammalia; Rodentia; Cricetidae. The record is from RNAcentral.
GUGAGGAGGGCUGCAGGAUAGACUCCAUCAAAGAGCUCCACAACUGCAGGAAGACCCAGGCAAGCCAAGCCACCCCAGCAUAGGUGCCUACUGCAAGACAGCAGCAGCUCCAGACCUGAGAACACAAACUACAAGGUGAGGUACCAUGUGAUCUUUCUCCAGCAGCCCAGAACUACAUCUGUUCAUAUCAGGUAUGGCACUGAUGACAGAUCAAAAGAACAAUUCCACCUAAGUCUUGCUAGUGGACUGUAGAGUUUAUUGGGGUUGCAUCACUGAAAAACCUACCCAGUGUGAGCAUG